RNAcentral lists this ribosomal RNA (464 nucleotides) under Staphylococcus simulans. RNAcentral describes it as "bacterial SSU rRNA". It matches the Rfam family "Bacterial small subunit ribosomal RNA", at positions 54 to 500 of the family's 1533-position model. Lineage: Bacteria; Bacillati; Bacillota; Bacilli; Caryophanales; Staphylococcaceae. The record is from RNAcentral.
CAUGCAAGUCGAGCGAACAGACGAGGAGCUUGCUCCUCUGACGUUAGCGGCGGACGGGUGAGUAACACGUGGGUAACCUACCUAUAAGACUGGGAUAACUCCGGGAAACCGGGGCUAAUACCGGAUAACACAUGAAACCGCAUGGUUUCAUGAUGAAAGACGGUUUUGCUGUCACUUAUAGAUGGACCCGCGGCGUAUUAGCUAGUUGGUAAGGUAACGGCUUACCAAGGCAACGAUACGUAGCCGACCUGAGAGGGUGAUCGGCCACACUGGAACUGAGACACGGUCCAGACUCCUACGGGAGGCAGCAGUAGGGAAUCUUCCGCAAUGGGCGAAAGCCUGACGGAGCAACGCCGCGUGAGUGAUGAAGGUCUUCGGAUCGUAAAACUCUGUUAUUAGGGAAGAACAAGGAUGUAAGUAACUAUGCAUCCCUUGACGGUACCUAAUCAGAAAGCCACGGCUAA